CCUACGGGGUGCAGCAGUGGGGGAUAUUGCACAAUGGGGGAAACCCUGAUGCAGCGACGCCGCGUGGGCGAAGAAGUAUUUCGGUAUGUAAAGCCCUAUCAGCAGGGAAGAAGAAAUGACGGUACCCGAAGAAAAAGCAUCGGCUAACUCCGUGCCAGCAGCCGCGGUAAUACGGGGGAUGCGAGCGUUAUCCGGAUUUAUUGGGUUUAAAGGGUGCGCAGGCGGAGGUGCAAGUCAGCGGUCAAAUUGCGGGGCUCAACCCCGUACUGCCGUUGAAACUGCAUCCCUUGAGUGCGCGAGAAGUAUGCGGAAUGCGUGGUGUAGCGGUGAAAUGCAUAGAUAUCACGCAGAACUCCGAUUGCGAAGGCAGCAUACCGGCGCGCAACUGACGCUCAUGCACGAAAGCGUGGGUAUCGAACAGGAUUAGAUACCCGGGUAGUC
Molecule: ribosomal RNA, 441 nt
Filed under: uncultured bacterium
Lineage: Bacteria
Description: partial 16S ribosomal RNA
Rfam family: Bacterial small subunit ribosomal RNA
Source: RNAcentral